Alnus glutinosa is the source of this 901-nucleotide long non-coding RNA. RefSeq lists it as uncharacterized. The record is from RefSeq and is a predicted model, not a curated record. The transcript has 2 exons. Lineage: Eukaryota; Viridiplantae; Streptophyta; Magnoliopsida; Fagales; Betulaceae.
AUACAUCAAAAUAAAAAGUUUUUACAGGGAAAGAAAAUCCAUGGCUAGCAAAUGUAUUAAAAAACUUAUGGUAGUGGUGGAGUCGCUUAUUCUUAUUCUCCUAAAAGUUCAAGCAAAUUACCAUGCCCAUAUUUCUUUCCGUCCCUCUCCACCUCCCAUCCUACUUCCUCAUUUCUCCGAACUUGAUAAAGCUUAUUCUAACGAUCUUGCCUCUACCUAUUUGUCUCCCUCUUCAUUGCCCAUCCCCUAUCGUCAGUACUCCUUUAAACUUGAUGAAGUUAAAAAAAAAUGGCGUAAAUGCAUUCCAGAUUUAAUUGAAUCUUGUGAAGAAAAAAACCUACCAUCCAAAUAUCUGUUUGAAAUUUGUAUCAUUGAAGGUCAUUGGACAUGUGUCAGAGUGAAUGGCCUAAGACAUACUAAAACGUCUUACCAGUGCAUAGCAGACUGCAUAAACAAUCGAAGCGCUCGAGUCGCUCUUGCGCCUUGUUACUUAGAAUGUUGUGAUAAACAUUUUAAGGAGCACUCAGAAUGAUGCCGUUUAUACGCAGAAUUCCUAGCCUAAGAUUCAUGUGGAGGCUUCUUAAGGAAUGCACAGGGGCAAGACUUCGUAGAUAAUAGUUCUCAAUUGUACCUCGUUUCAAAUAAUAUUUUUAUGAGUUGCAGAAUAAUGUUAAUUAAGGACGUUUUACCACUUGAUUUGAUACCAUUUUGUUUUUAAGUUUCUAUAUUGGACCAUUUUGGACCCAAAACUAUGUCAUUUGGGAGUUGAGUUUUAUAUGGGAUUUGUAUAUCUUGUUUUAUGGCUGGAGAAUUUAGAGUUAUCAGUUGAUGUAUUGAGACCCAAAAAAUAAUAUGCUUUUGUAGACAACAUUUUAUAUAAAUACUUGUUAUUCUUACUAAA